GCUGCGAUUGUUGAUAGAGUUUGGGGAAGGAGACGAGACGAGAGGAGAGGACGGGGUCGGGUCGGGCGGGGCGGACGUCGCCGUCCGCGCGCGGCCCCGCUGCGCGAAAUGGGAGAAGGUUUUGGACCGGGACGGGAAGGGCGAUAUUUUCCAGGGGCGAAAUCGGACGGCGACGCGACGCGAUGCUCGUGAGGCCGUGCUUGGAAAGUAGUGGCCGGCGUCCACACAAUGCCCGGAGAAGAUCCAGAGGCUGCUGUUUCCGGCUGGGAAAUGUAACCAUUUUUAUGCCUGUUACUCUAAUUGUUAUUGUUAGCUCGUGGCACGGGAAUCUCAGUCUCCUGCUUGAAAGCUAUGGGAC
This 358-nucleotide long non-coding RNA is filed under the name Hordeum vulgare. Its description in RNAcentral is "long non-coding RNA (HVUL_LNC006930)". The record is from RNAcentral. Lineage: Eukaryota; Viridiplantae; Streptophyta; Magnoliopsida; Poales; Poaceae.